AAAAAAAAAUCAGAAGAGUCUCAAUGCUGAUAAUAAACAUUCAUAAAUGCCAAUUUUGGUUAAGUUUAGUAAGAAGAUAAAGGACGUUGAUACAAACAAAAGCAACUUCCAGAACACAAUCUUUUAUAUCAUUGAAUACUGGAGGUUAUUUUGUUUGGAUAACAUAGAACUGAACAUCAACCAAUUUAGACAGUUCCCACAAGCCUUGAACCCAGUAUAUCUUUCGGAUAAUGCCUAAGGAAAGCAGCUCUUUUACAAAUAAAUAAUAAAAGUUCACGACACGCAAUGACAGAACAAAAAAAUUUUAAGGA
This 311-nucleotide unclassified non-coding RNA is filed under the name Hevea brasiliensis (rubber tree). The record is from RNAcentral. Lineage: Eukaryota; Viridiplantae; Streptophyta; Magnoliopsida; Malpighiales; Euphorbiaceae.